This 154-nucleotide non-coding RNA is filed under the name Candidatus Omnitrophota bacterium. Its description in RNAcentral is "Candidatus Omnitrophica bacterium 6S RNA". It matches the Rfam family "6S / SsrS RNA". From Rfam's summary of the family: E. coli 6S RNA was the first non coding RNA to be sequenced, but its function was unknown until recently. It consists of 184 nucleotides that fold into an extended hairpin structure with a large single-stranded internal bulge. Lineage: Bacteria; Pseudomonadati; Candidatus Omnitrophota. The record is from RNAcentral.
UAUAUCCUGUCUGGUGCGCGGACGGGUAUAAGGAUUUGGCCAACACAUAAUAAAUGGGGGUCUAACUUCGGUGUUCCUUAGGGAUCGCCGGGAGGGCGCCCACCUGGGCAACCGGGACCAAAUCCUCUGCCUGUUGCGGCCAGAUGGGAUUUUC